AGUUUAUAGUUGUAGUUGGUAGUUUGUGAUUUGUAGUUUGUAGUUUGUAGUUU
Molecule: non-coding RNA, 53 nt
Organism: Caenorhabditis elegans
Lineage: Eukaryota; Metazoa; Nematoda; Chromadorea; Rhabditida; Rhabditidae
Source: Ensembl